Molecule: ribosomal RNA, 443 nt
Filed under: uncultured bacterium
Lineage: Bacteria
Description: partial 16S ribosomal RNA
Rfam family: Bacterial small subunit ribosomal RNA
Source: RNAcentral
CCUACGGGGGGCAGCAGUGGGGAAUAUUGGGCAAUGGGCGCAAGCCUGACCCAGCAACGCCGCGUGAAGGAAGAAGGCUUUCGGGUUGUAAACUUCUUUUCUCAGGGACGAAGCAAGUGACGGUACCUGAGGAAUAAGCCACGGCUAACUACGUGCCAGCAGCCGCGGUAAUACGUAGGUGGCAAGCGUUAUCCGGAUUUACUGGGUGUAAAGGGCGUGUAGGCGGGGACGCAAGUCAGAUGUGAAAACCACGGGCUCAACCUGUGGCCUGCAUUUGAAACUGUGUUUCUUGAGUACUGGAGAGGCAGACGGAAUUCCUAGUGUAGCGGUGAAAUGCGUAGAUAUUAGGAGGAACACCAGUGGCGAAGGCGGUCUGCUGGACAGUAACUGACGUUGAGGCUCGAAAGCGUGGGGAGCAAACAGGAUUAGAUACCCCUGUAGUC